CCUACGGGAGGCUGCAGUGGGGAAUAUUGGACAAUGGGGGCAACCCUGAUCCAGCCAUGCCGCGUGUGUGAAGAAGGCCCUCGGGUUGUAAAGCACUUUCAGUGAGGAAGAACGCCUGGUGGUUAAUACCCAUCAGGAAAGACAUCACUCACAGAAGAAGCACCGGCUAACUCCGUGCCAGCAGCCGCGGCAAUACGGAGGGUGCGAGCGUUAAUCGGAAUUACUGGGCGUAAAGCGCGCGUAGGUGGCUUGAUAAGCCGGUUGUGAAAGCCCCGGGCUCAACCUGGGAACGGCAUCCGGAACUGUCAAGCUAGAGUGCAGGAGAGGAAGGUAGAAUUCCCGGUGUAGCGGUGAAAUGCGUAGAGAUCGGGAGGAAUACCAGUGGCGAAGGCGGCCUUCUGGACUGACACUGACACUGAGGUGCGAAAGCGUGGGUAGCAAACAGGAUUAGAUACCCUAGUAGUC
RNAcentral lists this ribosomal RNA (465 nucleotides) under Vreelandella stevensii. RNAcentral's name for it is "partial 16S ribosomal RNA". It matches the Rfam family "Bacterial small subunit ribosomal RNA", at positions 338 to 795 of the family's 1533-position model. The record is from RNAcentral. Lineage: Bacteria; Pseudomonadati; Pseudomonadota; Gammaproteobacteria; Oceanospirillales; Halomonadaceae.